Molecule: small RNA, 75 nt
Filed under: Pseudomonas sp. NFACC39-1
Lineage: Bacteria; Pseudomonadati; Pseudomonadota; Gammaproteobacteria; Pseudomonadales; Pseudomonadaceae
Also listed under: 1 other name
Description: Pseudomonas sRNA P9
Rfam family: Pseudomonas sRNA P9
About the family: P9 appears to be conserved in several Pseudomonas species in addition to Bordetella spp. In both Pseudomonas and Bordetella spp P9 appears to be located upstream of a predicted threonine dehydratase gene.
Source: RNAcentral
AGCAUUAUUACUGCCAUUCCUCAUAUGGCGGGAUAGCACACUGCUGCACCCAAACCCGCCUUAGAGGCGGGUUUU